RNAcentral lists this ribosomal RNA (1015 nucleotides) under Citrobacter sp. Ce105. RNAcentral describes it as "partial 23S ribosomal RNA". It matches the Rfam family "Bacterial large subunit ribosomal RNA", at positions 157 to 1212 of the family's 2925-position model. Lineage: Bacteria; Pseudomonadati; Pseudomonadota; Gammaproteobacteria; Enterobacterales; Enterobacteriaceae. The record is from RNAcentral.
CGUGAAUACAUAGCGUAAUGAAGCGAACCGGGGGAACUGAAACAUCUAAGUACCCCGAGGAAAAGAAAUCAACCGAGAUUCCCCCAGUAGCGGCGAGCGAACGGGGAGCAGCCCAGAGUCUGAAUCAGCAUGUGUGUUAGUGGAACGGUCUGGAAAGUCCGGCGAUACAGGGUGAUAGCCCCGUACACAAAAGUGCAUGUGUUGUGAACUCGAAGAGUAGGGCGGGACACGUGGUAUCCUGUCUGAAUAUGGGGGGACCAUCCUCCAAGGCUAAAUACUCCUGACUGACCGAUAGUGAACCAGUACCGUGAGGGAAAGGCGAAAAGAACCCCGGCGAGGGGAGUGAAAAAGAACCUGAAACCGUGUACGUACAAGCAGUGGGAGCACCCUUUGGGGUGUGACUGCGUACCUUUUGUAUAAUGGGUCAGCGACUUAUAUUCUGUAGCAAGGUUAACCGUAUAGGGGAGCCGAAGGGAAACCGAGUCUUAACUGGGCGUUAAGUUGCAGGGUAUAGACCCGAAACCCGGUGAUCUAGCCAUGGGCAGGUUGAAGGUUGGGUAACACUAACUGGAGGACCGAACCGACUAAUGUUGAAAAAUUAGCGGAUGACUUGUGGCUGGGGGUGAAAGGCCAAUCAAACCGGGAGAUAGCUGGUUCUCCCCGAAAGCUAUUUAGGUAGCGCCUCGUGAAUUCAUCUUCGGGGGUAGAGCACUGUUUCGGCUAGGGGGUCAUCCCGACUUACCAACCCGAUGCAAACUGCGAAUACCGAAGAAUGUUAUCACGGGAGACACACGGCGGGUGCUAACGUCCGUCGUGAAGAGGGAAACAACCCAGACCGCCAGCUAAGGUCCCAAAGUCAUGGUUAAGUGGGAAACGAUGUGGGAAGGCACAGACAGCCAGGAUGUUGGCUUAGAAGCAGCCAUCAUUUAAAGAAAGCGUAAUAGCUCACUGGUCGAGUCGGCCUGCGCGGAAGAUGUAACGGGGCUAAACCAUGCACCGAAGCUGCGGCAGCGAC